Molecule: ribosomal RNA, 580 nt
Filed under: uncultured soil bacterium
Lineage: Bacteria
Description: bacterial SSU rRNA
Rfam family: Bacterial small subunit ribosomal RNA
Source: RNAcentral
UGAUCAUGGCUCAGGACGAACGCUGGCGGCGUGCCUAAUACAUGCAAGUCGAGCGAACUGAUUAGAAGCUUGCUUCUAUGACGUUAGCGGCGGACGGGUGAGUAACACGUGGGCAACCUGUCUGUAAGACUGGGAUAACUUCGGGAAACCGGAGCUAAUACCGGAUAAUCCUUUCUCUCUCAUGAGAGAAAGCUGAAAGACGGUUUCGGCUGUCACUUACAGAUGGGCCCGCGGCGCAUUAGCUAGUUGGUGAGGUAACGGCUCACCAAGGCGACGAUGCGUAGCCGACCUGAGAGGGUGAUCGGCCACACUGGGACUGAGACACGGCCCAGACUCCUACGGGAGGCAGCAGUAGGGAAUCUUCCGCAAUGGACGAAAGUCUGACGGAGCAACGCCGCGUGAGCGAUGAAGGCCUUCGGGUCGUAAAGCUCUGUUGUUAGGGAAGAACAAGUACCGGAGUAACUGCCGGUACCUUGACGGUACCUAACCAGAAAGCCACGGCUAACUACGUGCCAGCAGCCGCGGUAAUACGUAGGUGGCAAGCGUUGUCCGGAAUUAUUGGGCGUAAAGCGCGCGCAGG